Caenorhabditis sp. is the source of this 51-nucleotide non-coding RNA. The record is from Rfam. Lineage: Eukaryota; Metazoa; Nematoda; Chromadorea; Rhabditida; Rhabditidae.
GCCUUUGAAUCUGCCGUAUUCAUUAAUGCGCCCCUGCCGUGGGAACAGGCC